GUGUUAUAUGAAAGAGAGAAGGUUAGCACUUCCCUUGACAAGGAUGUAAAAGGUCCCAGUGGCCUUUACAACACAUAUACGCUUAAGGCACUGCCACCAACUUAGUUUUUAAGGCUUUUACUAU
Small nuclear RNA from Pseudophryne corroboree (corroboree frog), 124 nucleotides. The record is from RefSeq and is a predicted model, not a curated record. Lineage: Eukaryota; Metazoa; Chordata; Amphibia; Anura; Myobatrachidae.